GUGAGGAAUAUUGGUCAAUGGGCGAGAGCCUGAACCAGCCAAGUCGCGUGAAGGAAGAAGGAUCUAUGGUUCGUAAACUUCUUUUGCAGGGGAAUAAAGUGCAGGACGUGUUCUGUUUUGUAUGUACCCUGAGAAUAAGGAUCGGCUAACUCCGUGCCAGCAGCCGCGGUAAUACGGAGGAUCCGAGCGUUAUCCGGAUUUAUUGGGUUUAAAGGGUGCGUAGGUGGUUUGAUAAGUCAGCGGUGAAAGUUUGCAGCUUAACUGUAAAAAUGCCGUUGAAACUGUCGGACUUGAGUGUAAAUGAGGUAGGCGGAAUGCGUGGUGUAGCGGUGAAAUGCAUAGAUAUCACGCAGAACUCCGAUUGCGAAGGCAGCUUACUAAGCUACAACUGACACUGAAGCACGAAAGCGUGGGGAUCAAACAGGAUUAGAUACCCCAGUAGUCC
RNAcentral lists this ribosomal RNA (445 nucleotides) under uncultured bacterium. Its description in RNAcentral is "partial 16S ribosomal RNA". It matches the Rfam family "Bacterial small subunit ribosomal RNA", at positions 354 to 796 of the family's 1533-position model. The record is from RNAcentral.